UGGAGCGUGUGGUUUAAUUCGAUGCUACGCGAAGAACCUUACCCAGGUUUGACAUACAGGUAGUAGGGAUUCGAAAGAUGACCGACCCUUCGGGGAGCCUGUACAGGUGCUGCAUGGCUGUCGUCAGCUCGUGCCGUGAGGUGUCCGGUUAAGUCCGGUAACGAGCGCAACCCCCAUUGUGUGUUAUAUGUGUCACACGAAACUGCCGGUAUCAAGCCGGAGGAAGGUGGGGAUGACGUCAAGUCAGCAUGGCCUUUAUAUCUUGGGCA
RNAcentral lists this ribosomal RNA (269 nucleotides) under uncultured bacterium. RNAcentral's name for it is "partial 16S ribosomal RNA". It matches the Rfam family "Bacterial small subunit ribosomal RNA", at positions 933 to 1215 of the family's 1533-position model. The record is from RNAcentral.